GCAUGGUCCUCUGGGAAAGCUUUUGCGGUAUGGGAUGGGGUCGCGUCCUAUCAGCUUGAUGGCGGGGUAACGGCCCACCAUGGCUUCGACGGGUAGCCGGCCUGAGAGGGCGACCGGCCACAUUGGGACUGAGAUACGGCCCAGACUCCUACGGGAGGCAGCAGUGGGGGAUAUUGCACAAUGGGCGCAAGCCUGAUGCAGCGACGCCGCGUGCGGGAUGACGGCCUUCGGGUUGUAAACCGCUUUUGACUGGGAGCAAGCCCUUCGGGGUGAGUGUACCUUUCGAAUAAGCACCGGCUAACUACGUGCCAGCAGCCGCGGUAAUACGUAGGGUGCAAGCGUUAUCCGGAAUUAUUGGGCGUAAAGGGCUCGUAGGCGGUUCGUCGCGUCCGGUGUGAAAGUCCAUCGCUUAACGGUGGAUCCGCGCCGGGUACGGGCGGGCUUGAGUGCGGUAGGGGAGACUGGAAUUCCCGGUGUAACGGUGGAAUGUGUAGAUAUCGGGAAGAACACCAAUGGCGAAGGCAGGUCUCUGGGCCGUCACUGACGCUGAGGAGCGAAAGCGUGGGGAGCGAACAGGAUUAGAUACCCUGGUAGUCCACGCCGUAAACGAUGGAU
Molecule: ribosomal RNA, 615 nt
Filed under: uncultured bacterium
Lineage: Bacteria
Description: bacterial SSU rRNA
Rfam family: Bacterial small subunit ribosomal RNA
Source: RNAcentral